Non-coding RNA from Cherax quadricarinatus, 531 nucleotides. Lineage: Eukaryota; Metazoa; Arthropoda; Malacostraca; Decapoda; Parastacidae. The record is from RefSeq and is a predicted model, not a curated record.
AUAAUGGGUCCAGGGACUGUACAUCAACAUUACAGAGGUACAUAAUGGGUCCAGGGACUGUACAUCAACAUUACAGAGGUACAUAAUGGGUCCAGGGACUGUACAUCAACAUUACAGAGGUACAUAAUGGGUCCAGGGACUGUACAUCAACAUUACAGAGGUACAUAAUGGGUCCAGGGACUGUACUUCAACAUUACAGAGGUACAUAAUGGCUCCAGGGACUGUACCUCAACAUUACAGAGGUACAUAAUGGGUCCAGGGACUGUACAUCAACAUUACAGAGGUACAUAAUGGCUCCAGGGACUGUACUUAAACAUUACAGAGGUACAUAAUGGGUCCAGGGACUGUACAUCAACAUUGCAGAGGUACAUAAUGGGUCCAGGGACUGUACUUCAACAUUACAGAGGUACAUAAUGGGUCCAGGGACUGUACUUCAACAUUACAGAGGUACAUAAUGGGUCCAGGGACUGUACUUCAACAUUACAGAGGUACAUAAUGGGUCCAGGGAUUGGACCGCAAAGUUUUGAUAGC